UACGUAGGGUGCAAGCGUUGUCCGGAAUUAUUGGGCGUAAAGAGCUCGUAGGCGGUUCGUCGCGUCGGCUGUGAAAACCCGGAGCUCAACUCCGGGCCUGCAGUCGAUACGGGCGGACUAGAGUUCGGCAGGGGAGACUGGAAUUCCUGGUGUAGCGGUGAAAUGCGCAGAUAUCGGGAGGAACACCGGUGGCGAAGGCGGUUCUCUGGGCCUGUACUGACGCUGAGGAGCGAAAGCGUGGGGAGCGAACAGG
RNAcentral lists this ribosomal RNA (253 nucleotides) under uncultured bacterium. RNAcentral's name for it is "partial 16S ribosomal RNA". It matches the Rfam family "Bacterial small subunit ribosomal RNA", at positions 524 to 776 of the family's 1533-position model. The record is from RNAcentral.